RNAcentral lists this ribosomal RNA (393 nucleotides) under uncultured bacterium. Its description in RNAcentral is "partial 16S ribosomal RNA". It matches the Rfam family "Bacterial small subunit ribosomal RNA", at positions 523 to 918 of the family's 1533-position model. The record is from RNAcentral.
AUACGGAGGAUGCAAGCGUUAUCCGGAUUUAUUGGGUUUAAAGGGUGCGUAGGCGGUUUGCUAAGCGGGAGGUGAAAUGCCGGCGCUCAACGUCGGAAGUGCCUCCCGAACUGGUGGACUUGAAUGACUCUGCCGUGGGAGGAAUGUGUAGUGUAGCGGUGAAAUGCAUAGAGAGUACACAGAACACCGAUUGCGAAGGCAGUUCACGACGAGUUGAUUGACGCGGAGGCACGAAAGCGUGGGGAUCAAACAGGAUUAGAUACCCUGGUAGUCCACGCAGUAAACGAUGAUGGCUAACCGCUGGGCUUAUCAGUUCAGUGGCCAAGCGAAAGCGAUAAGCCAUCCACCUGGGGAGUACGACCGCAAGGUUGAAACUCAAAGGAAUUGGCGGGG